UACGGAGGGUGCAAGCAUUAAUCGGAUUUAUUGGGCGUAAAGGGCGCGUAGGCGGCCGCGUAAGUCAGAUGUGAAAUCCUGGGGCUUAACCUCAGAACAGCAUUUGAAACUGCGCGGCUAGAGGGUAGUCGGAGAAAACGGAAUUCCACAAGUAGCGGUGAAAUGCGUAGAUAUGUGGAAGAACAUCUGUGGCGAAGGCGGUUUUCUAGAUUAUUCCUGACGCUGAGGCGCGAAAGCAAGGGGAGCAAACAGG
This 253-nucleotide ribosomal RNA is filed under the name uncultured bacterium. Its description in RNAcentral is "partial 16S ribosomal RNA". It matches the Rfam family "Bacterial small subunit ribosomal RNA", at positions 524 to 776 of the family's 1533-position model. The record is from RNAcentral.